GAUGAAGAACGUAGCGAAAUGCGAUAAGUAAUGUGAAUUGCAGAAUUCAGUGAAUCAUCGAAUCUUUGAACGCACCUUGCACCCUUUGGACUGCUCCAAAGGGUAUGCUCGUUUGAGUGUCAUUGUACUCUCACACUCUCUGAUCCUUUGGAUUUGGGGAGCAGUGGACUUGGGUGCUUGCUGCUUCCUUGUGGCUCACCUGUAAUGCAUCAGUGCAUCUCUCGAUUGGACAUAGUACGGCGUGAUAAGUGUCUUCGCCGGCACCUCAUAUGAGGGUGGCCGAUCGGGAGCUCUGUGCUUUCAAACCGUCUUCGGACAACGCUGACAACUUGACCUCAAAUCGAGUAGGACUACCCGCUGAACUUAAGCAUAUCAAUAAGCGGAGGA
This 387-nucleotide unclassified non-coding RNA is filed under the name soil metagenome. RNAcentral describes it as "partial contains 5.8S ribosomal RNA, internal transcribed spacer 2, and large subunit ribosomal RNA". The stretch from base 1 to 122 matches the Rfam family "5.8S ribosomal RNA", at positions 35 to 154 of the family's 154-position model. The record is from RNAcentral.